Molecule: ribosomal RNA, 399 nt
Filed under: uncultured bacterium
Lineage: Bacteria
Description: bacterial SSU rRNA
Rfam family: Bacterial small subunit ribosomal RNA
Source: RNAcentral
UCUUCGGCAAUGGACGAAAGUCUGACCAAGCAACGCCGCGUGAGCGAAGAAGGCCUUCGGGUCGUAAAGCUCUGUUGUUAGAGAAGAACAUGGGUGAGAGUAACUGUUCACCCCUUGACGGUAUCUAACCAGAAAGCCACGGCUAACUACGUGCCAGCAGCCGCGGUAAUACGUAGGUGGCAAGCGUUGUCCGGAAUUAUUGGGCGUAAAGCGCGCGCAGGCGGUCUCUUAGGUCUGAUGUGAAAGCCCCCGGCUCAACCGGGGAGGGUCAUUGGAAACUGGGAGACUUGAGGACAGAAGAGGAGAGUGGAAUUCCAAGUGUAGCGGUGAAAUGCGUAGAUAUUUGGAGGAACACCAGGGCGAAGGCGGCUCUCUGUCUUUACGACGCGAGGCGCGAAA